RNAcentral lists this ribosomal RNA (425 nucleotides) under uncultured bacterium. Its description in RNAcentral is "bacterial SSU rRNA". It matches the Rfam family "Bacterial small subunit ribosomal RNA", at positions 335 to 751 of the family's 1533-position model. The record is from RNAcentral.
ACUCCUACGGGAGGCAGCAGUGGGGAAUAUUGCACAAUGGGCGCAAGCCUGAUGCAGCCAUGCCGCGUGUGUGAAGAAGGCCUUCGGGUUGUAAAGCACUUUCAGCAGUGAGGAAGGCGGAGUCGUUAAUAGCGGCCUCGUUUGUACGUUAGCUGCAGAAGAAGCACCGGCUAACUCCGUGCCAGCAGCCGCGGUAAUACGGAGGGUGCGAGCGUUAAUCGGAAUUACUGGGCGUAAAGCGCAUGCAGGUGGUUUGUUAAGUCAGAUGUGAAAGCCCGGGGCUCAACCUCGGAAUAGCAUUUGAAACUGGCAGGCUAGAGUACUGUAGAGGGGGGUAGAAUUUCAGGUGUAGCGGUGAAAUGCGUAGAGAUCUGAAGGAAUACCGGUGGCGAAGGCGGCCCCCUGGACAGAUACUGACACUCAGA